This 482-nucleotide ribosomal RNA is filed under the name uncultured bacterium. RNAcentral describes it as "partial 16S ribosomal RNA". It matches the Rfam family "Bacterial small subunit ribosomal RNA", at positions 30 to 507 of the family's 1533-position model. The record is from RNAcentral.
AUUGAACGCUGGCGGCAUGCCUUACACGUGCAAGUCGAACGGUAACGGGCCUUCGGGUGCCGACGAGUGGCGAACGGGUGAGUAAUACAUCGGAACGUGCCCGAUCGUGGGGGAUAACGAGGCGAAAGCUUUGCUAAUACCGCAUACGAUCUACGGAUGAAAGCAGGGGACCGCAAGGCCUUGCGCGGACGGAGCGGCCGAUGGCAGAUAAGGUAGUUGGUGGGAUAAAAGCUUACCAAGCCGACGAUCUGUAGCUGGGCUGAGAGGAUGAUCAGCCACACUGGGACUGAGACACGGCCCAGACUCCUACGGGAGGCAGCAGUGGGGAAUUUUGGACAAUGGGCGCAAGCCUGAUCCAGCCAUGCCGCGUGCAGGAUGAAGGCCUUCGGGUUGUAAACUGCUUUUGUACGGAACGAAAAGCCUUCUUUUAAUACAGGAGGGUCAUGACGGUACCGUAAGAAUAAGCACCGGCUAACUACGUG